CCCUAGCCCGGAUGGAAGCGGCAUCCUUUAAAAAAAGCCCCUGUGUUAGGGGCUUUUUUUAAAGAUACAGCGGACAGCCGGAACAGCU
RNAcentral lists this small RNA (88 nucleotides) under Flavobacterium caeni. Its description in RNAcentral is "Flavo-1 RNA". It matches the Rfam family "Flavo-1 RNA". The record is from Rfam by way of RNAcentral. Lineage: Bacteria; Pseudomonadati; Bacteroidota; Flavobacteriia; Flavobacteriales; Flavobacteriaceae.